GUUUCACUUUCGGUUUUACUACUUCCGGGUACAACAACAUGUGGAAUAUAUAAAGUCGUAACAGAGAAUCGGCACUAAUAUGUAAUUUGGAGUAUUGUUAAGCGAUCGACUUCAUACAUGAGACUGGGAAAACCCUGCCAUGUAGUUUAUUUAGGUUCCUAGUCGAUGCUACAGUAAGGAAGCGGUGGAUACAAAGAUGUAGACACAAAGUUACGAAACCUGCUGAAGCAGAAGCAUCUGCUUCAAACGUACAUGUAGGAACCGAAGUUGAUACUGCUACCAAUAUAUCUGUACCAGACAACAAUGAAGUGCAUCUACAUGAUCACGAAUAUACAGCACCAAACCCUCAACAUUUAAAAAGCUUGAAACCAUCCUUGACAACUGGUAACAUCAUAAUUGAAAGACCCUGGAAAGGGAUCAUGAACACUGUUGGGAGUGUUCAUUCAACUGAAAUAUAAAAGUCAGAAGAAUUGAAGAUUGCAAUGGAUGCAACAGAAGUGACCUAAUAUGACCAAAUUGAUAUGAAUAGCCAGUUUUUCGCUUGCAGUAAUGACAAGAGUCGCCACAAAGAAAAGACCUUAAUGUGUAUUACGAUUGAAAAUUUGUCAUUUAUUACAAUACCAAAUGACGAAAGAAAUCUUCAACAUAAGAUUUUGGGGGAAAUCAGAUAAUACAUUCUACAUGAAAGUACCUGCAAAGCUAAAUUACUCAAAGUCUGAUUUCCCCCAAAGAAGACAAAAUAACUUAAAUAAUGCUACGCUAU
Long non-coding RNA from Ostrea edulis (European flat oyster), 763 nucleotides. RefSeq lists it as uncharacterized. The transcript has 4 exons. The record is from RefSeq and is a predicted model, not a curated record. NCBI's taxonomy places the organism in Eukaryota, Metazoa, Mollusca, Bivalvia, Ostreida, Ostreidae.